AAGAGUGAAGCGCAUUAAGCCAAAAUCAAAGACACCUUGAAGUCAAGUGGAGAAAUUGUGUUUAAAUUGGGUUGUUGGAUGAUAGCAAGGAAUCAGCCGGAAAUUUUAUUAACUUUAUUUUUGGGUUUCGGACUCUUUGGUUUGUUCAUUUACACUAGUGGACUUCCAGCCCCAAAAAUGUAUGGGUGGAAGUAUGCUGCUUAGGAAUUUUCCGUUUUCUUUCUAUGAAUUUGUCGCGGUUAACGCGCAAUACAUUCCAAGGAUGAGAGUAGUGGGCACAUGGAAGGGCGUGGAGUUGCCCUAUUAGCCGAAUGCGGUGUCAAAGGAAAAAUGUGAGUGUAGCAUUUGAAAAAUUUGGUGUUUGGUAAAAUUAAUUUACCCGAAAUGAACCGCGUAGAUAUUUGUAUCACUGUGUGAAAAUAUAUUUGCAUAAUUUUCAAACUGUUUUAAUGUUAAAAAUUUAUUAGCGUCUUUCGACAGAAAAUGAGUGGGGCUGACGAACGAGUAGUUAAGUGCGCAAUUGUACCCAUGUGUAUCCCGAUCGAAGACGGGUGGUAAAGAGUAAAUUUUACAGUGCAUACAUUUCUAUGUGACAUUAAUUAUAAAUUGACAUAUAGAUUAUUUAAUUUUCCAGUUA
Molecule: unclassified non-coding RNA, 637 nt
Filed under: Hevea brasiliensis (rubber tree)
Lineage: Eukaryota; Viridiplantae; Streptophyta; Magnoliopsida; Malpighiales; Euphorbiaceae
Source: RNAcentral